This 449-nucleotide ribosomal RNA is filed under the name uncultured bacterium. RNAcentral's name for it is "bacterial SSU rRNA". It matches the Rfam family "Bacterial small subunit ribosomal RNA", at positions 29 to 523 of the family's 1533-position model. The record is from RNAcentral.
AACGAACGCUGGCGGCAUGCCUAACACAUGCAAGUCGAACGAAGCUUUCGGGCUUAGUGGCGCACGGGUGCGUAACACGUGGGAAUCUGCCCUUCGGUUCGGAAUAACAGUUAGAAAUGACUGCUAAUACCGGAUGAUGACGUAAGUCCAAAGAUUUAUCGCCGAAGGAUGAGCCCGCGUAGGAUUAGGUAGUUGGUAGGGUAAUGGCCUACCAAGCCGACGAUCCUUAGCUGGUCUGAGAGGAUGAUCAGCCACACUGGGACUGAGACACGGCCCAGACUCCUACGGGAGGCAGCAGUGGGGAAUAUUGGACAAUGGGCGAAAGCCUGAUCCAGCAAUGCCGCGUGAGUGAUGAAGGCCUAGGGUUGUAAAGACUCUUUUACCAGGGAUGAUAAUGACAGUACCUGGAGAAUAAGCUCCGGCUAACUCCGUGCCAGCAGCCGCGGUAA